GCCGCCGCCACAGCCGCCGCCGAAGUGGUAGUAGAGCUCCACGGCGGAUCUCUGGGCUCUUCUGCUCGCUUUUUUUUCUCUCCAGAAAUUAAAGCAGAGGAGCAUCUGAAAGUGGAAAGGUCCCCCUUCUGGUAGGAUGGAUGUAAAAGGAGGCAACAAUUUAUUCUUGAGGGGGCAAAAAGGGGAAAGCAUUGCUUGGCUUUGCAUUGUCGGACCUUAUAAAAUAAAGUGUGGCUGUUCUUGUUGCCCACACUCGGGAAAUCUUUGCAGACCUGCCAAGUCUCUCUUAUUUGGAAUCUUUUUAAAGGCAAGUUGUUUGGACUUCUUUUUCUUUUUCUUUUCGUUCAGAGAAAGUCAGGGACGCUUGAAGGAUGUCAUAAUGUGAUUCAAAGGAGACAGCUUUCCUGGCACUCCUUUAAAUAACAUUCUUAAAUUGACAUAGAUCUCUGGCUGGAAAAUCUAAAGCUUUAUCUUGGUUUAAAAAAAAAACAGCAAGAGGUAAGAAAAUAUGCACUUAAGAAUAUGUGAACAAGAUAAUAGUUUCUAAAGCAUAUUGGAAUGUUUGCAGAUUGGUAGGAUUUGUGUUUGUUUUCACAUAGUUUUGCUUUCUAACUUUUCACCUGCUCCCAUCCCAAAACAAGAAACACCACGUGUUUCCUUCUUCUACCUUCUAUCCGAGGAAGAAGAAUAUUUUAAUUUUUUUUUUUUUUUUUUUUUGCUGUUUAUUGAUUGGUCAUGCUUGUCAAGUCAUAAAUGCUAGACAGGACUACCAAAAUAGAGCUGAGUUUCACAAGUCUUUGUUGAAAUUAAAAGGUACAGAAUAGAGUUAAGUAAUUACACUAAUGGGCAGAAUUUAGUACAAGUGGUAUUGUUCUUAACUGGAUUUUUUUUUAAGUCUCCAUUCUGUAAAAUGAAGAUAUAACUAUUAAAGACCACCCAAAGACAUCAAAGCAUUGAGGAAGUUGUAUUUUCAUUUCUAAUCUAACCUUUAAACUGCUUUGACCCUAAAGUAGGUACAGUAUAUGUUUUUCCCAGUCUCUUCAUUAUAAUUAAAUGAGUUUUCAGUCCAUCUACAGGAAUUUCUAAAAUAAAAUCAUAGUUGCAGUCAAAUAAAUAUAAUUUUACGUGGCUGUGAAAUAGUAAAGCAUACAGCUUGAAUUGCAGGAUCUACAUUUGAACAUUCAAGAUUCUAGAUUUCAUACAUAACUUUAUAACCAUUCCACUUCACAGAAACCCUUCAGAAAGGAAAACUGUUGAAGACUCUUAAGCUUUUACAAUGCUUUCCUUUCAUGUGGGAGCCAUAUGUGUGCAGGAUGCUAUGGUGCCAGGUGUUUUAUCAUCUCAUAUCAUGGCAAGAAGAGAAAGGGCUUUUAUAACAGAAUACCAUAGACUGGGGAACUUAUAAACAACAGAAAUUUACUUCUCACAGUUCUGGAGGCUGGAAGUUCAAGAUCAAGGCACCAGCUGAUUUAGUGUCUGGUAAGGGUUUCCUUCCUGGUUCAUAGACGGCUGCCUUCUCACUAUGUCCUCACAUGGGAAAAGGGGCUAGAGACCUCUCUAGGGCUUUUAAGAACUAAUCCCAUCCGUGAGGGAUCCACUGUUAUGACUUAAUCACCUCCAAGGAUCCCACCUCCAAAUACCAUCACUUUGGGCAUUAGGAUUUAACAAAUGAAUUUGGGGGAAAACAAACAUGCAGUCUAUAGGAGGGUUUUUUGGUAACUGAUUUAGGCAAAAUUAAAGAGAAAAUAUUAAAAUGGUGACAGGUGGUUCAGAGAACCAAGGAAGGCUGAACAAGGGUGUUCAGGGAAGGCACAAACACCAAGAAAAGCUAAAAUCUGUCAAAGCUUAGUCAAGGUUCUGUCUGCCUCAGGGACAUUGGCCAGGACAUCAUGUUGUGGGAUAGUUGGGCACUGCUAGACUUUGGAUUUCAGUGCUGCCACUAUGCAUGAUCUCUAGCCAUUCUGGCCUUUUACAUCUUUCUCUGAAGACCCCACAUUCGGAGUGGGGCAUCCUUUGACUGAGCCGAGCUCAUGUGCCCAUACCCCCUGCCAGAGCUGAGAGGCAAGGAUCAUCUGCCCACCUUUUGGCAGGUGGAGGUGGGUUCCUACCUCCCUCUGAAGUCACCCAAGGUGGUAUUUCUCCAAAAGAAAAGGGAACCAGAUGCUGGGGGACCAAAAAUGACCAAUGGUCAUGCCAUCCUAAUAAAGAGCUUUAGUGUUCUCUUUCAGGUAAUUUUGUUUUUCUUUUCAAAUCUGCUCACCAAAUGGAUUCCCUUUUUAGUACAAACCAUCUAAAAUAAUAGUCUGUGCCUGGAUAUUAACAGCUACUCCUUUCUCACCACCCACUUACCAUCUAUUAUAGUCCAUUUUCUAGUCAGGUGUGUGAAGAACUAAAAGAGCAGGUUUAUAUGCUUUUUUCCCCCUCAGACAUGAAAAGGCCUAGAUUAACACUUUUAGUCUGAAGAAAUAAACUUACAAAGCAUCCGGUGCUGGACCUGUCUCCCACUGUAAAGUCAAUGCCUGGCAUUUUCCUUUUCUGGAACAUGGGUUUUCCAAGAGCAAUUCCAUUUUCUUCCUCCUGUAAGGUCUCACAAUGGUACGUCUACACUUGUGGGUCUAAUUAUUUUGAAAACUAAUCUUCUUCUCCUCCUGCCUGUAUUUUGUAAUUAUUUAUGGUCGGUGCCAACAAAAAUCCACCCUCUAAUUCUAAUCCCCAUAAUCUAGAUUCUUUUCUUUAUAUCAUCACUUGCAUUUUUCUUGGGCCUUAUUUCUUUCUUCUUUCCACAUUUCUCCAACCUUGUGGUGGAGAUAAUGACCCCCUUUUGCUUGUUUUCCUGGAGUUUUCUUGAGCUCCUCCCUCUAGCCCCGUCUUUGUUUGUGUUCUGAACAUCUUUCUCUCUUAAGUUGCUGGCUGUCUGUGUUUGCCGUCUUUCUGUCUUCACAUUCUCUUUCUUGUAGCCUUCUUCAUCUUUCUACCCAACUACUUUAAAGCUCUUUCUCUGAGUCUUCUAUUGGACCUCAUAUUCACACCUCCAUCUUGACUGAAGACUGUUUCUCCAUUUCAUCUUUUUUCUCCCUAGUUUUCUUUAUAUCAACUAUAAUUCUUAACCAUGCAUCACUAAUUCAACACACAUUUAUUACAUAUGUAUUCUCUGGUUAGAACUGCAUGAGGUGCUAAAGAGAACAAAAAGAAUAAACUAGAAUUCUGCCCUCAGAGGUUCAAGAUCCAGCAAAGAAAGAAAACUUGUUAAAAAAAAAAAAAACAACUGUAAGUAAACAUGAUAAGCACAAUCUUAAGAGGAUAACCAAAAUACUUGAGAGCACAACAGUUGGAGAGAUGGAUCCUGCCUGAGAGGUCUCUUCUUCACAGAACAACUGGCAUUCAGCCCUGACUCUUGAAGGAUGAGUGGGGUUUUGCCAGACAGAAAUGGGGAAAUGUAUUUCAGGCACACUGCUAAGGAAAGUCAUGGGUGUUGUGGGUUGUUCACAAAGAGAUGAGUGGGGACUGAAAUCCAGGCCAUGCUCUGUAUGUUACUACUGAUACCCCAGCAUAGGGUUGUAUCGUCUCAGAAGAAGGUGAACAAAGAUAUCACAUAGGCUGGUGGUAUGUAAGUGCAUAGUUUGUAAGAGGCAAAUACCACACAGCCUUUCAUUUCUGCUCUGUUGCCCCUUUCUUCUGUCCUUGAAACCCUCAAUCAUGAGCCUUUCCAAAGUUAAAUUCUUCUUAGAUCAGUAUACACGGUGAAUGUAUGGCCAGCCUCAUAACCUGCAGUGUUUCCAGUUAAAUGGGUUAUUCCAAUCUUUUCUUUCUUGCAUUUAUAUUGUUUCUCCAUACAUGUAAUGGUGUAGUAUCUCUUUAGCUACACAAAUAUUUCAUCUCCAGCUACUGUUUCCAAAUAAAUGUUUAUUGCCUUUGAUUUAAUUAAAGCUAUUAGCACAA
Molecule: long non-coding RNA, 3939 nt
Organism: Felis catus (domestic cat)
Lineage: Eukaryota; Metazoa; Chordata; Mammalia; Carnivora; Felidae
Exons: 3
Source: RefSeq, a predicted model, not a curated record